Molecule: ribosomal RNA, 252 nt
Filed under: uncultured bacterium
Lineage: Bacteria
Description: partial 16S ribosomal RNA
Rfam family: Bacterial small subunit ribosomal RNA
Source: RNAcentral
UACGAAGGGUGCAAACGUUGCUCGGAAUUAUUGGGCGUAAAGCGCACGUAGGCGGCUUAGCAAGUUGGAUGUGAAAUCCCUCGGCUCAACCAAGGAAGUGCAUCCAAAACUGCUGAGCUUGAAUACUUAAGAGGGUCUCGGAAUUCCCGGUGUAGAGGUGAAAUUCGUAGAUAUCGGGAGGAACACCAGUGGCGAAGGCGGAGACCUGGGCCGAUACUGACGCUGAGGUGCGAAAGCGUGGGAGCAAACAGG